CGGAGGGUGAGUAAUGUCUGGGAAACUGCCUGAUGGAGGGGGAUAACUACUGGAAACGGUAGCUAAUACCGCAUAACGUCGCAAGACCAAAGAGGGGGACCUUCGGGCCUCUUGCCAUCGGAUGUGCCCAGAUGGGAUUAGCUAGUAGGUGGGGUAAUGGCUCACCUAGGCGACGAUCCCUAGCUGGUCUGAGAGGAUGACCAGCCACACUGGAACUGAGACACGGUCCAG
RNAcentral lists this ribosomal RNA (231 nucleotides) under uncultured bacterium. Its description in RNAcentral is "partial 16S ribosomal RNA". It matches the Rfam family "Bacterial small subunit ribosomal RNA", at positions 104 to 334 of the family's 1533-position model. The record is from RNAcentral.